This 253-nucleotide ribosomal RNA is filed under the name uncultured bacterium. RNAcentral's name for it is "partial 16S ribosomal RNA". It matches the Rfam family "Bacterial small subunit ribosomal RNA", at positions 524 to 776 of the family's 1533-position model. The record is from RNAcentral.
UACGUAGGGGGCAAGCGUUAAUCGGAAUUACUGGGCGUAAAGCGUACGCAGGCGGCUAUGCAAGACAGAUGUGAAAUCCCCGGGCUCAACCUGGGAACUGCAUUUGUGACUGCAUGGCUAGAGUCCGUAAGAGGGGGGUGGAAUUCCACGUGUAGCAGUGAAAUGCGUAGAGAUGUGGAGGAACACCGAUGGCGAAGGCAGCCCCCUGGGAUGAGACUGACGCUCAUGUACGAAAGCGUGGGGAGCAAACAGG